GAGGGAAGAGCUCAAAUUUAAAAUCUGGCUGCUCUUGCGGCGGUCCGAGUUGUAGUUUAGAGAAGUGCUAUCCGCGCUGGCCUGUGCAAAAGUUUCUUGGAAAAGAACAUCAUAGAGGGUGACAAUCCCGUCUUUGGCACGGACUACCAGGGCUUUUGUGAUGCGCUCUCGACGAGUCGUGUUGUUUGGGAAUGCAGCACUAAAUGGGUGGUAAAUUCCAUCUAAAGCUAAAUAUUGGCGAGAGACCGAUAGCGAACAAGUACCGUGAGGGAAAGAUGAAAAGAACUUUGAAAAGAGAGUUAAACAGUACGUGAAAUUGUUGAAAGGGAAACGCUUGAAGUCAGUCGCGUCUUCCAGGGAUCAAGUUGCCUCCGGGUGACCGCACUUUCUGGUUGAUGGGUCAGCAUCAAUUUUGACCGUCGGACAAAGGCCUGGGGAAUGUGGCAUCUUCGGAUGUGUUAUAGACCCGGGUCGGAUACGAUGGUUGGGAUUGAGGAACUCAGUGUGCCUUCAUGGUUGGGGCUUCUGCUCACACCGCACGCUUAGGAUGCUGGCAUAAUGGCUUUAAUCGACCC
RNAcentral lists this ribosomal RNA (575 nucleotides) under Ramariopsis kunzei. RNAcentral's name for it is "eukaryotic LSU rRNA". It matches the Rfam family "Eukaryotic large subunit ribosomal RNA", at positions 98 to 650 of the family's 3401-position model. Lineage: Eukaryota; Fungi; Basidiomycota; Agaricomycetes; Agaricales; Clavariaceae. The record is from RNAcentral.